RNAcentral lists this ribosomal RNA (253 nucleotides) under uncultured bacterium. RNAcentral's name for it is "partial 16S ribosomal RNA". It matches the Rfam family "Bacterial small subunit ribosomal RNA", at positions 524 to 776 of the family's 1533-position model. The record is from RNAcentral.
GGCGAAGGGGGCUAGCGUUGUUCGGAAUUACUGGGCGUAAAGCGCGUGUAGGCGGUUGUUUAAGUCAGGUGUGAAAGCCUUGAGCUCAACUCAAGAAAUGCACUUGAUACUGGAUGACUAGAGGACCGGAGAGGAUAGUGGAAUUCCCAGUGUAGUGGUGAAAUACGUAGAGAUUGGGAAGAACACCAGUGGCGAAGGCGGCUAUCUGGACGGUUUCUGACGCUAAGACGCGAAAGCGUGGGGAGCAAACAGG